RNAcentral lists this transfer RNA (89 nucleotides) under Nitrososphaerota archaeon. Its description in RNAcentral is "tRNA-Phe". It matches the Rfam family "tRNA". Rfam says of the family: Transfer RNA (tRNA) molecules are approximately 80 nucleotides in length. Lineage: Archaea; Thermoproteati; Nitrososphaerota. The record is from RNAcentral.
GCCGCGGUAGCUCAGCCUGGGAGACCUCAUAGCUCAUCAGCAUCCGGCUGAAGACCGGAGUGUCGUCGGCUCAAAUCCGACCCGCGGCA